RNAcentral lists this small RNA (80 nucleotides) under Mytilus galloprovincialis (Mediterranean mussel). Lineage: Eukaryota; Metazoa; Mollusca; Bivalvia; Mytilida; Mytilidae. The record is from RNAcentral.
AUUUUACACCGUUGUUGAAAAUUCAUACACCCAUUCGGCUGCGCCUCAGGGUGUAUGAAUUUUCAACAACGGUGUAAAAU